GACUCGGAUCAGGUAG
This 16-nucleotide ribosomal RNA is filed under the name Paecilomyces sp. KACC40656. RNAcentral's name for it is "partial 28S ribosomal RNA". Lineage: Eukaryota; Fungi; Ascomycota; Eurotiomycetes; Eurotiales; Thermoascaceae. The record is from RNAcentral.